GCACCUGUAGCUCAGUGGGUAGGGCUCUGGCCACGUACACCCAGGGUGGCUGGUUCGAACCCAGCCUGGGCCA
This 73-nucleotide transfer RNA is filed under the name Otolemur garnettii (small-eared galago). It matches the Rfam family "tRNA". Rfam says of the family: Transfer RNA (tRNA) molecules are approximately 80 nucleotides in length. Their secondary structure includes four short double-helical elements and three loops (D, anti-codon, and T loops). The record is from Rfam by way of RNAcentral. Lineage: Eukaryota; Metazoa; Chordata; Mammalia; Primates; Galagidae.